GCUGCAGCAUAAAAGACUUCAGGAGCAUACGUCUCUGAAGAGCAAAGAAUUUGUUGUAGUUCCUCAAAUAAUCAUUUCAGAAAUAUAGCCGAGACCCACUUGCCAGUCAGGGAAGCUGCAGCUUUGGGUGUAUUUCUGCCCCUUCCCACGUGCUUCUGGUGCAUGUUUUAACCACGUGACUGAUGCAAAACUGAGAAUAAUAAGUUUAUGCCAGUACCCGCCCUCAAAUCCAUGCUGUAACAUGUUCUCUGUUUACUAAAAUCUGCUAGUACUAUUAAAAAAAA
Long non-coding RNA from Oxyura jamaicensis (ruddy duck), 284 nucleotides. RefSeq lists it as uncharacterized. The transcript has 2 exons. The record is from RefSeq and is a predicted model, not a curated record. NCBI's taxonomy places the organism in Eukaryota, Metazoa, Chordata, Aves, Anseriformes, Anatidae.